CUCCAGUUAUGGAGACAUGGUGCCUAAGACGAUCGCUGGGAAGAUUUUCGGCUCCAUCUGCUCCCUGAGCGGGGUGCUGGUAAUAGCCUUGCCUGUGCCUGUCAUCGUGUCCAAC
Astyanax mexicanus (Mexican tetra) is the source of this 115-nucleotide regulatory RNA element. It matches the Rfam family "Potassium channel RNA editing signal". Rfam says of the family: This family represents a group of sequences related to the human potassium channel Kv1.1 hairpin element which directs the efficient modification of an adenosine to inosine by an adenosine deaminase acting on RNA (ADAR). Lineage: Eukaryota; Metazoa; Chordata; Actinopteri; Characiformes; Acestrorhamphidae. The record is from Rfam.